GCCUCAAUAGCUCAGCUGGCAGAGCAACCGCCUUGUAAGCGGUAGGUCGUGGGUUCAAUCCCUACUUGGGGCA
Molecule: transfer RNA, 73 nt
Filed under: Klebsiella phage vB_KpnS-VAC51
Lineage: Duplodnaviria; Heunggongvirae; Uroviricota; Caudoviricetes; Demerecviridae
Description: tRNA-Thr
Rfam family: tRNA
About the family: Transfer RNA (tRNA) molecules are approximately 80 nucleotides in length.
Source: RNAcentral